AUGUCAUAAUGAGGACACUUUCGUAAUAACUCCUUGAACCGCUCUCAUGCCUUAUAUAAAGGUUCUUUGUCAAAUUGCUGAAAUGAAUUGAUUUCAUUUCAGAGCCU
Molecule: small nucleolar RNA, 107 nt
Organism: Gossypium raimondii (Peruvian cotton)
Lineage: Eukaryota; Viridiplantae; Streptophyta; Magnoliopsida; Malvales; Malvaceae
Source: RefSeq, a predicted model, not a curated record